RNAcentral lists this ribosomal RNA (303 nucleotides) under uncultured bacterium. RNAcentral describes it as "partial 16S ribosomal RNA". It matches the Rfam family "Bacterial small subunit ribosomal RNA", at positions 507 to 807 of the family's 1533-position model. The record is from RNAcentral.
AGCAGUCGCCGCGGGAACACGAAGGGUGCAAGCGUUAAUCGGAAUUACUGGGCGUAAAGCGUGCGCAGGCGGUUAUAUAAGACAGAUGUGAAAUCCCCGGGCUCAACCUGGGACCUGCAUUUGUGACUGUAUAGCUAGAGUACGGUAGAGGGGGAUGGAAUUCCGCGUGUAGCAGUGAAAUGCGUAGAUAUGCGGAGGAACACCGAUGGCGAAGGCAAUCCCCUGGACCUGUACUGACGCUCAUGCACGAAAGCGUGGGGAGCAAACGGGAUUAGAUACCCCAGUAGUCCCUGUCUCUUAUAC